This 778-nucleotide ribosomal RNA is filed under the name uncultured Neocallimastigales. RNAcentral's name for it is "partial large subunit ribosomal RNA". It matches the Rfam family "Eukaryotic large subunit ribosomal RNA", at positions 23 to 645 of the family's 3401-position model. Lineage: Eukaryota; Fungi; Neocallimastigomycota; Neocallimastigomycetes; Neocallimastigales. The record is from RNAcentral.
AGAGAGAGACAUGCGCGCAUAUCAAUAAGCGGAGGAAAAGAAACUAACAAGGAUUCCCUUAGUAACGGCGAGUGAAGCGGGAAGAGCUCAAAUUUGAAAUCUUCAAGGUUUUACCUUGACGAAUUGUAGUUUAAAGAAGUGUUUUCUGCUGAAGUUUUGGUAAAAGUUCUUUGGAAUAGGACAUCAUAGAGGGUGAGGAUCCCGUAUUUGACCAUUAUUUUCCAGCUUUGUGAUACACUUUCAAAGAGUCGGAUUGUUUGGGAAUGCAGUCCAAAAUGGGUGGUAAAUUUCAUCUAAAGCUAAAUAUUGGCGAGAGACCGAUAGCGAACAAGUACCGUGAGGGAAAGAUGAAAAGAACUUUGAAAAGAGAGUUAAACAGUACGUGAAAUUGUCAAAAGGGAAGCGUUUGACACCAGUGUUGUUUUCUCGAAAAUCAAUUAAAAAAGGCAGGAUUUUGUGUUGUAUUGACUUUAUCAGCAUUUCUGCACUCUUUUCUUGUCUUUUUUAAUGCACUUUUCGUUUAACAAGUCAACAUCAAUUUCUUUUGUUGUAAAAGGGUCAUUGGAAGGUGGCUUUCUUUUCGGAGAAAGUGUUUAUAGCCUUUGGCCUCUGCAAUCGGAGAGAUUGAGGUCUGCAGCGUAGACUCCUUCGGGGUUAGAUACAUUUGUGCUAAGUUAUAGCCUUUUCAUAGACAACUUGUUGACUAUAAUCAGUCAUGUAGCUUACUCGCUUAUGCUAUUUUACCUACGCUUAGGAUGUUGAAGUCAUCGUAUCGCGC